UGCAGGGAGCGUGUUAGGGAGGGAGAGUAGGAGGAACAUAUGUUAGCACAGUUACCUGGCAGGGCACAAAGAUAAAUACUGAGUAUUUGUACCAUGAGGAAGUGGAGGAGGAGGAGCAAGAGGAAGAGGAGGAGGAGCAGGUGGAGGAGGAAGAGGAGGAGGAGGAGCAAGAGGAAGAGGAGGAGGAGCAGGUGGAGGAGGAAGAGGAGCAGCAGGAGGAGGAAGAGGAGGGAAGAGGAGCAGAAGGAAGAGUAUAAAGAGGGGGAGGAGGAGGAAGAAGAGGGUGAGGAGCAACAUCACCCUAAACCCUAAACCUUCUGCCUUCAACAUGUAGAAGCUAGGGUGAGGGCCUUCAACAUGUAGAAGCUAGGGAAAGGGCCUUCAACAUGUAGAAGAUAGGGAAAGGGCCUUCAACAUGUAGAAGCUAGGGAAAGGGCCUUCAACAUGUAGAAGCUAGGGAAAGGGUCUUCAACAUGUAGAAGCUAGGGAAAUGGCCUUCAACAUGUAGAAGCUACGGAAAGGCUAGGGAAAGGGCCUUCAACAUGUAGAAGCUAGGGUGAGGGCCUUCAACAUGUAGAAGCUAGGGUGAGGGCCUUCAACAUGUAGAAGCUAGGGUGAGGGCCUUCAACAUGUAGAAGCUAGGGAAAGGCUAGGGAAAGGGCCUUCAACAUGUAGAAGCUAGGGAAAGGGCAUUCAACAUGUAGAAGCUAGGGAAAGGGCCUUCAACAUGUAGAAGCUAGGGUGAGGGCCUUCAACAUGUAGAAGCUAGGGUGAGGGCCUUCAACAUGUAGAAGCUAGGGUGAGGGCCUUCAACAUGUAGAAGCUAGGGAAAGGGCCUUCAACAUGUAGAAGCUAGGGAAAGGGUCUUCAACAUGUAGAAGCUAGGGAAAGGGCCUUCAACAUGUAGAAGCUAGGGUGAGGGCCUUCAACAUGUAGAAGCUAGGGUGAGGGCCUUCAACAUGUAGAAGCUAGGGUGAGGGUCUUCAACAUGUAGAAGCUAGGGAAAGGGCCUUCAACAUGUAGAAGCUAGGGAAAGGGCCUUCAACAUGUAGAAGCUAGGGAAAGACCCUUCAACAUGUAGAAGCUAGGGAAAGGGCCUUCAACAUGUAGAAGCUAGGGAAAGGGAAAGGGCCUUCAACAUGUAGAAGCUAGGGAAAGGGCAUUCAACAUGUAGAAGCUAGGGAAAGGGCCUUCAACAUGUAGAAGCUAGGGCAAGGGCCUUCAACAUGUAGAAGCUAGGGAAAGACCCUUCAACAUGUAGAAGCUAGGGAAAGACCCUUCAACAUGUAGAAGCUAGGGAAAGGGCCUUCAACAUGUAGAAGCUAGGGAAAGGGCCUUCAACAUGUAGAAGCUAGGGUGAGGGCCUUCAACAUGUAGAAGCUAGGGAAAGGGGAAGGGCCUUCAACAUGUAGAAGCUAGGGAAAGGGCCUUCAACAUGUAGAAGCUAGGGAAAGGGCCUUCAACAUGUAGAAGCUAGGGUGAGGGCCUUCAACAUGUAGAAGCUAGGGUGAGGGCCUUCAACAUGUAGAAGCUAGGGAAAGGGCCUUCAACAUGUAGAAGCUAGGGUGAGGGUCUUCAACAUGUAGAAGCUAGGGAAAGACCCUUCAACAUGUAGAAGCUAGGGAAAGGGCCUUCAACAUGUAGAAGCUAGGGAAAGGGCCUUCAACAUGUAGAAGCUAGUGAAAGACCCUUCAACAUGUAGAAGCUAGGGAAAGACCCUUCAACAUGUAGAAGCUAGGGUGAGGGUCUUCAACAUGUAGAAGCUAGGGUGAGGGUCUUCAACAUGUAGAAGCUAGGGAAAGGGGGACUUCGGGGGCUACAGAAGGGACAAGCCUUUGAACAUUGGCUUUGAACAUUAUUUGUAAAUCUGAGGAUUGUCGUUAUAUGAAAACUACUUCAUAAGUAGAGUUUGAAUGAAUCUCUAAUGGCACUGAUUGUUUUAUACACCUAAUGAAGAAGUUGGUGGAUCUGAUUAUAUAUUUUUCUACACUUUCUUUUUUCUUUUAUAUUUUGUCUUUAAUCGUGUGUUUUGAUAAACUGGUUUAGAGAAGAUCCAUGUGUUUGGAAAUAACGUUUUAAACGAUUUUUUUUUUUUUUUUUUGGUCCUAUGAUUUUAACAAAAUGUCUGAUAUCUACCCUCAUACUGUAAUGGUGUUGGCCCAGCAUCGCCCGGGUUUGGGCCCGGUGUUCGGCCGUCAUUGUAAAUAAGAAUUUGUUCUUAACUGACUUGCCUAGUUAAAUAAAGGUUACAUUACUUUU
Molecule: non-coding RNA, 2259 nt
Organism: Salmo salar (Atlantic salmon)
Lineage: Eukaryota; Metazoa; Chordata; Actinopteri; Salmoniformes; Salmonidae
Source: RefSeq, a predicted model, not a curated record